Molecule: long non-coding RNA, 434 nt
Filed under: Jatropha curcas
Lineage: Eukaryota; Viridiplantae; Streptophyta; Magnoliopsida; Malpighiales; Euphorbiaceae
Description: long non-coding RNA (JCUR_LNC000139)
Source: RNAcentral
AAAAAAAAACCAAAAAAAAAAAAAAAAAACCAAAAAAAAAAAAAAAAAACUGUUCUCAGAAAACAACAAGAGACAGAUAAUAUUGAUUUUAACAGAUUUUUGGAUUUUCCAUGAGGGUAAGUGAAGUAAACAAAUAAGAUUUGGACAUAUAAAUGAUAUUAAAUAACAAGAAGGUAAGGUUCCUUUUAAUCUCUGAUGGAUGAACAAAUAAUGAUGAUAAUAAGUGGGAAUUGAGAGAGGUUUUUACAGCUUUUUCUUUGGGGUUUGAAGUAAUAAUGAAGGUGGCAAGCUAAUGAAAUGGGGGGAAGUGAUUUACAGUGGACAUAGAUAUUGGAGUAAUUAUAAAAGCUAAGCCAAUCCAGAUUCCUUUUUGGCAUAAGGAAUUUCCUUUUAGUCGGUUAAUGUCACCUUCCUCUUUUUUUUUCUUUUUUUUU